RNAcentral lists this ribosomal RNA (407 nucleotides) under uncultured bacterium. RNAcentral describes it as "partial 16S ribosomal RNA". It matches the Rfam family "Bacterial small subunit ribosomal RNA", at positions 28 to 526 of the family's 1533-position model. The record is from RNAcentral.
GACGAACGCUGGCGGCGUGCCUAAUACAUGCAAGUAGGACGCAGUUGCGAACGCGUGAGUAACGCGUAGGUAUCUGCCCACUAGAGGGGGAUAACUCUUGGAAACGAUAGCUAAUACCGCAUACUCGCAGAUGGACCUGCGUUGUAUUAGGUAGUAGGUAGGGUAAUGGCCUACCUAGGCGACGGUACAUAGCCGACCCGGUAGGGGGAUCGGGCAAAAUGGGACUGAGACAAGGGCCAGACGCCUACGGGAGGGAGCAGUAGGGAAUGUUCGGCAAAGGGGGGAACACGGACCGAGCAACGCCGCGUUAGUGAAGAAGGGUUUCGGAUCGGAAAGCUCUGGUGUUAAGGAAGCGGUACUUAACCAGAAAGGGACGGCUAACUACGUGCCAGCAGCCGCGGUAAUAC